Molecule: ribosomal RNA, 115 nt
Filed under: Escherichia coli
Lineage: Bacteria; Pseudomonadati; Pseudomonadota; Gammaproteobacteria; Enterobacterales; Enterobacteriaceae
Description: partial 16S ribosomal RNA
Rfam family: Bacterial small subunit ribosomal RNA
Source: RNAcentral
UUAAAUUGAAGAGUUUGAUCAUGGCUCAGAUUGAACGCUGGCGGCAGGCCUAACACAUGCAAGUCGAACGGUAACAGGAAUCAGCUUGCUGAUUUGCUGACGAGUGGCGGACGGG